RNAcentral lists this ribosomal RNA (937 nucleotides) under Arthrobacter sp. PF92. RNAcentral's name for it is "bacterial SSU rRNA". It matches the Rfam family "Bacterial small subunit ribosomal RNA", at positions 53 to 1000 of the family's 1533-position model. The record is from RNAcentral. Lineage: Bacteria; Bacillati; Actinomycetota; Actinomycetes; Micrococcales; Micrococcaceae.
ACAUGCAGUCGAACGAUGACUUUUGUGCUUGCACAGAAUGAUUAGUGGCGAACGGGUGAGUAACACGUGAGUAACCUGCCCCUGACUCUGGGAUAAGCCUGGGAAACUGGGUCUAAUACUGGAUAUGCACCGUAGACCGCAUGGUUUUUGGUGGAAAGAAUUUUGGUCAGGGAUGGACUCGCGGCCUAUCAGCUUGUUGGUGAGGUAAUGGCUCACCAAGGCGACGACGGGUAGCCGGCCUGAGAGGGUGACCGGCCACACUGGGACUGAGACACGGCCCAGACUCCUACGGGAGGCAGCAGUGGGGAAUAUUGCACAAUGGGCGAAAGCCUGAUGCAGCGACGCCGCGUGAGGGAUGACGGCCUUCGGGUUGUAAACCUCUUUCAGUAGGGAAGAAGCGAAAGUGACGGUACCUGCAGAAGAAGCGCCGGCUAACUACGUGCCAGCAGCCGCGGUAAUACGUAGGGCGCAAGCGUUAUCCGGAAUUAUUGGGCGUAAAGAGCUCGUAGGCGGUUUGUCGCGUCUGCCGUGAAAGUCCGAGGCUCAACUUCGGAUCUGCGGUGGGUACGGGCAGACUAGAGUGAUGUAGGGGAGACUGGAAUUCCUGGUGUAGCGGUGAAAUGCGCAGAUAUCAGGAGGAACACCGAUGGCGAAGGCAGGUCUCUGGGCAUCUACUGACGCUGAGGAGCGAAAGCAUGGGGAGCGAACAGGAUUAGAUACCCUGGUAGUCCAUGCCGUAAACGUUGGGCACUAGGUGUGGGGGACAUUCCACGUUUUCCGCGCCGUAGCUAACGCAUUAAGUGCCCCGCCUGGGGAGUACGGCCGCAAGGCUAAAACUCAAAGGAAUUGACGGGGGCCCGCACAAGCGGCGGAGCAUGCGGAUUAAUUCGAUGCAACGCGAAAAACCUUACCAAGGCUUGACAUGUGCUAGAUCGCC